GACGAACGCUGGCGGCGUGCUUAACACAUGCAAGUCGAACGGGCUGCCUGGUUUUCGGAUCGGGUGGUGAGUGGCGAACGGGUGAGUAACACGUGAGUAACCUGCCCCUCUCUUUGGGAUAACGUCGGGAAAUCGGCGCUAAUACCGGGUAUUCUGGCUUCCUCGCAUGGGGUUGUUGGGAAAGGUGUUUUCUGGUGGGGGAUGGGCUCGCGGCCUAUCAGCUUGUUGGUGGGGUGAUGGCCUACCAAGGCGGUGACGGGUAGCCGGCCUGAGAGGGUGUCCGGCCACACUGGGACUGAGACACGGCCCAGACUCCUACGGGAGGCAGCAGUGGGGAAUAUUGCACAAUGGGCGGAAGCCUGAUGCAGCGACGCCGCGUGGGGGAUGACGGCCUUCGGGUUGUAAACCUCUUUCAGUGCAGAACAAGGCUCUUUGUGGGUUGAGGGUAUGCGCAGAAGAAGCGCCGGCUAACUACGUG
This 478-nucleotide ribosomal RNA is filed under the name uncultured bacterium. RNAcentral's name for it is "partial 16S ribosomal RNA". It matches the Rfam family "Bacterial small subunit ribosomal RNA", at positions 28 to 507 of the family's 1533-position model. The record is from RNAcentral.